RNAcentral lists this ribosomal RNA (305 nucleotides) under uncultured bacterium. Its description in RNAcentral is "bacterial SSU rRNA". It matches the Rfam family "Bacterial small subunit ribosomal RNA", at positions 333 to 658 of the family's 1533-position model. The record is from RNAcentral.
UUACUCCUCGGGGGCAGCAGUGGGGAAUUUUGCGCAAUGGGGGAAACCCUGACGCAGCAACGCCGCGUGCGGGACGAAGGCCCUCGGGCUGUAAACCGCUUUCAGCAGGGAAGACGUCGACGGUACCUGCAGAAGAAGCUCCGGCUAACUACGUGCCAGCAGCCGCGGUAAUACGUAGGGGGCGAGCGUUAUCCGGAUUCAUUGGGCGUAAAGCGCGCGUAGGCGGCCGCCUAAGCGGAACCUCUAACCCCGGGGCUCAACCUCGGGCCGGGUUCCGGACUGGGCGGCUCGAGUGCGGUAGAGGG